UGGGGAAUAUUGCACAAUGGGGGAAACCCUGAUGCAGCGACGCCGCGUGAGCGAAGAAGGCUUUCGAGUCGUAAAGCUCUGUCCUAUGAGAAGAUAAUGACGGUAUCAUAGGAGGAAGCCCUGGCUAAAUACGUGCCAGCAGCCGCGGUAAUACGUAUGGGGCGAGCGUUGUCCGGAAUUAUUGGGCGUAAAGGGUACGUAGGCGGUAAGACAAGUUGAAGGUGAAAACCUGUGGCUCAACCAUAGGCUUGCCUACAAAACUGUUGAACUAGAGUACUGGAAAGGUGGGUGGAACUACACGAGUAGAGGUGAAAUUCGUAGAUAUGUGUAGGAAUGCCGAUGAUGAAGAUAACUCACUGGACAGAAACUGACGCUGAAGUGCGAAAGCUAGGGGAGCAAACAGG
This 404-nucleotide ribosomal RNA is filed under the name Verrucomicrobiota bacterium. RNAcentral's name for it is "Verrucomicrobia bacterium partial 16S ribosomal RNA". It matches the Rfam family "Bacterial small subunit ribosomal RNA", at positions 355 to 776 of the family's 1533-position model. Lineage: Bacteria; Pseudomonadati; Verrucomicrobiota. The record is from RNAcentral.